GAUGAACGCUGGCGGCGUGCCUAAUACAUGCAAGUCGAGCGGACGGACGAGAAGCUUGCUUCUCUGAUGUUAGCGGCGGACGGGUGAGUAACACGUGGAUAACCUACCUAUAAGACUGGGAUAACUUCGGGAAACCGGAGCUAAUACCGGAUAAUAUUUUGAACCGCAUGGUUCAAAAGUGAAAGACGGUCCUGCUGUCACUUAUAGAUGGAUCCGCGCUGCAUUAGCUAGUUGGUAAGGUAACGGCUUACCAAGGCAACGAUGCAUAGCCGACCUGAGAGGGUGAUCGGCCACACUGGAACUGAGACACGGUCCAGACUCCUACGGGAGGCAGCAGUAGGGAAUCUUCCGCAAUGGGCGAAAGCCUGACGGAGCAACGCCGCGUGAGUGAUGAAGGUCUUCGGAUCGUAAAACUCUGUUAUUAGGGAAGAACAUAUGUGUAAGUAACUGUGCACAUCUUGACGGUACCUAAUCAGAAAGCCACGGCUAACUACGUG
This 497-nucleotide ribosomal RNA is filed under the name uncultured bacterium. Its description in RNAcentral is "partial 16S ribosomal RNA". It matches the Rfam family "Bacterial small subunit ribosomal RNA", at positions 28 to 507 of the family's 1533-position model. The record is from RNAcentral.